This 359-nucleotide ribosomal RNA is filed under the name Oenococcus oeni. RNAcentral describes it as "bacterial LSU rRNA". It matches the Rfam family "Bacterial large subunit ribosomal RNA", at positions 1585 to 1956 of the family's 2925-position model. The record is from RNAcentral. Lineage: Bacteria; Bacillati; Bacillota; Bacilli; Lactobacillales; Lactobacillaceae.
GGAAAUUGUGUGAUUUCACGCUGCUGAAAAAAGUUUCGUAGGAAGAAAAUAUUGCCCGUACCGCAAACCGACACAGGUACUCAAGUGGAGAACACUAAGGUGAGCGAGUGAACUAUUGUUAAGGAACUCUGCAAAAUGAGUCCGUAACUUCGGAAGAAGGACUGCUGGUUUUAUACCAGCCGCAGCAAAUAGGCCCAAACAACUGUUUAUCAAAAACACAGGUUUCUGCAAAAUCGUAAGAUGAAGUAUAGGGGCUGACGCCUGCCCAGUGCUGGAAGGUUAAAAGGAGGACUUAGCUUCGGCGAAGGUCUUAAUUGAAGCCCCAGUGAACGGCGGCCGUAACUAUAACGGUCCUAAGG